Molecule: ribosomal RNA, 301 nt
Filed under: uncultured bacterium
Lineage: Bacteria
Description: partial 16S ribosomal RNA
Rfam family: Bacterial small subunit ribosomal RNA
Source: RNAcentral
CAGUCGCCGCGGGAAUACGUAGGGUGCAAGCGUUACUCGGAAUUACUGGGCGUAAAGCGUGUGUAGGUGGUUGUUUAAGUCUGUCGUGAAAGCCCUGGGCUCAACCUGGGAAUUGCGAUGGAUACUGGGCGACUAGAGUGCGGUAGAGGAUAGUGGAAUUUCCGGUGUAGCAGUGAAAUGCGUAGAGAUCGGAAGGAACAUCUGUGGCGAAGGCGACGAUCUGGGCCAACACUGACACUGAGGCACGAAAGCGUGGGGAGCAAACAGGAUUAGAUACCCCCGUAGUCCCUGUCUCUUAUAC